GACGGACGCUGGCGGCGUGCCUAAUACAUGCAAGUAGAACGCUGAAGGAGGAGCUUGCUUCUCUGGAUGAGUUGCGAACGGGUGAGUAACGCGUAGGUAACCUGCCUGGUAGCGGGGGAUAACUAUUGGAAACGAUAGCUAAUACCGCAUAACAGUAGAUAUCGCAUGAUAUCUACUUGAAAGGUGCAAUUGCAUCACUACCAGAUGGACCUGCGUUGUAUUAGCUAGUUGGUGAGGUAACGGCUCACCAAGGCGACGAUACAUAGCCGACCUGAGAGGGUGAUCGGCCACACUGGGACUGAGACACGGCCCAGACUCCUACGGGAGGCAGCAGUAGGGAAUCUUCGGCAAUGGACGGAAGUCUGACCGAGCAACGCCGCGUGAGUGAAGAAGGGUUUCGGAUCGUAAAGCUCUGUUGUAAGAGAAGAACGAGUGUGAGAGUGGAAAGUUCACACUGUGACGGUAUCUUACCAGAAAGAGACGGCUAACUACGUG
This 495-nucleotide ribosomal RNA is filed under the name uncultured bacterium. RNAcentral's name for it is "partial 16S ribosomal RNA". It matches the Rfam family "Bacterial small subunit ribosomal RNA", at positions 28 to 507 of the family's 1533-position model. The record is from RNAcentral.